RNAcentral lists this small nucleolar RNA (212 nucleotides) under Helianthus annuus (common sunflower). RNAcentral describes it as "Plant small nucleolar RNA U3". It matches the Rfam family "Plant small nucleolar RNA U3". From Rfam's summary of the family: Small nucleolar RNAs (snoRNAs) are involved in the processing and modification of rRNA in the nucleolus. There are two main classes of snoRNAs: the box C/D class, and the box H/ACA class. U3 snoRNA is a member of the box C/D class. Lineage: Eukaryota; Viridiplantae; Streptophyta; Magnoliopsida; Asterales; Asteraceae. The record is from RNAcentral.
ACGACCUUAUUUGAACAGGAUCUGUUCUAUAGGCUCGUACCUCUGUAUUUUUGAUUCCUAAGAAGACAGAAACUCAUGUCUGGUUGAUGAAUCAGGACCAUGUGACUAGAGCGUGAUUAACAGGACCCAUGGUCUCGACCAUGGCUCAGUAGAGGAUCGUUGCCAGCCCAUCUAACGGGUCUUGGCAUGGUCACAAGGUUGUCUGACAGACA